UACGGAGGGGGCUAGCGUUGUUCGGAAUUACUGGGCGUAAAGCGCGCGUAGGCGGCUUUGUAAGUUAGAGGUGAAAGCCCGGGGCUCAACCCCGGAACUGCCUUUAAAACUGCAUCGCUUGAAUCCGGGAGAGGUGAGUGGAAUUCCGAGUGUAGAGGUGAAAUUCGUAGAUAUUCGGAAGAACACCAGUGGCGAAGGCGGCUCACUGGACCGGCAUUGACGCUGAGGUGCGAAAGCGUGGGGAGCAAACAGG
This 253-nucleotide ribosomal RNA is filed under the name uncultured bacterium. Its description in RNAcentral is "partial 16S ribosomal RNA". It matches the Rfam family "Bacterial small subunit ribosomal RNA", at positions 524 to 776 of the family's 1533-position model. The record is from RNAcentral.